AUUGAACGCUGGCGGAAUGCUUUACACAUGCAAGUCGAACGGCAGCACGGGGCAACCUGGUGGCGAGUGGCGAACGGGUGAGUAAUACAUCGGAACGUGCCCAAUCGUGGGGGAUAACGUAGCGAAAGUUACGCUAAUACCGCAUACGAUCUACGGAUGAAAGCGGGGGAUCGCAAGACCUCGCGCGAGUGGAGCGGCCGAUGUCAGAUUAGGUAGUUGGUGGGGUAAAGGCUCACCAAGCCAACGAUCUGUAGCUGGUCUGAGAGGACGACCAGCCACACUGGAACUGAGACACGGUCCAGACUCCUACGGGAGGCAGCAGUGGGGAAUUUUGGACAAUGGGCGCAAGCCUGAUCCAGCCAUUCCGCGUGCAGGAUGAAGGCCUUCGGUUGUAAACUGCUUUUGUACGGAACGAAACGGCGAGCUCUAAUACAGUUUGCUAAUGACGGUACCGUAAGAAUAAGCACCGGCUAACUACGUGCCAGCAGCCGCGGUAAUA
This 499-nucleotide ribosomal RNA is filed under the name uncultured bacterium. RNAcentral's name for it is "bacterial SSU rRNA". It matches the Rfam family "Bacterial small subunit ribosomal RNA", at positions 30 to 525 of the family's 1533-position model. The record is from RNAcentral.